RNAcentral lists this ribosomal RNA (497 nucleotides) under uncultured bacterium. RNAcentral's name for it is "partial 16S ribosomal RNA". It matches the Rfam family "Bacterial small subunit ribosomal RNA", at positions 28 to 507 of the family's 1533-position model. The record is from RNAcentral.
GAUGAACGCUGGCGGCGUGCCUAAUACAUGCAAGUCGAGCGAACAGACGAGGAGCUUGCUCCUCUGACGUUAGCGGCGGACGGGUGAGUAACACGUGGAUAACCUACCUAUAAGACUGGGAUAACUUCGGGAAACCGGAGCUAAUACCGGAUAAUAUAUUGAACCGCAUGGUUCAAUAGUGAAAGACGGUUUUGCUGUCACUUAUAGAUGGAUCCGCGCCGCAUUAGCUAGUUGGUAAGGUAACGGCUUACCAAGGCAACGAUGCGUAGCCGACCUGAGAGGGGGAUCGGCCACACUGGAACUGAGACACGGUCCAGACUCCUACGGGAGGCAGCAGUAGGGAAUCUUCCGCAAUGGGCGAAAGCCUGACGGAGCAACGCCGCGUGAGUGAUGAAGGUCUUCGGAUCGUAAAACUCUGUUAAUAGGGAAGAACAAAUGUGUAAGUAACUAUGCACGUCUUGACGGUACCUAAUCAGAAAGCCACGGCUAACUACGUG